GGGUUGUGAGGUUAAGCGACUAAGCGUACACGGUGGAUGCCCUGGCAGUCAGAGGCGAUGAAGGACGUGCUAAUCUGCGAUAAGCGCCGGUAAGGUGAUAUGAACCGUUAUAACCGGCGAUUUCCGAAUGGGGAAACCCAGUGUGAUUCGUCACACUAUCAUUAACUGAAUCCAUAGGUUAAUGAGGCGAACCGGGGGAACUGAAACAUCUAAGUACCCCGAGGAAAAGAAAUCAACCGAGAUUCCCCAGUAGCGGCGAGCGAACGGGGAGGAGCCCAGAGCCUGAAUCAGCAUGUGUGUUAGUGGAAGCGUCUGGAAAGGUGCGCGAUACAGGGUGACAGCCCCGUACACAAAAGCGCAUGUGCUGUGAGCUCGAUGAGUAGGGCGGGACACGUGGUAUCCUGUCUGAAUAUGGGGGGACCAUCCUCCAAGGCUAAAUACUCCUGACUGACCGAUAGUGAACCAGUACCGUGAGGGAAAGGCGAAAAGAACCCCGGCGAGGGGAGUGAAAAAGAACCUGAAACCGUGUACGUACAAGCAGUGGGAGCACCCUUCGGGGUGUGACUGCGUACCUUUUGUAUAAUGGGUCAGCGACUUAUAUUCUGUAGCAAGGUUAACCGUAUAGGGGAGCCGGAGGGAAACCGAGUCUUAACCGGGCGUUAAGUUGCAGGGUAUAGACCCGAAACCCGGUGAUCUAGCCAUGGGCAGGUUGAAGGUUGGGUAACACUAACUGGAGGACCGAACCGACUAAUGUUGAAAAAUUAGCGGAUGACCUGUGGCUGGGGGUGAAAGGCCAAUCAAACCGGGAGAUAGCUGGUUCUCCCCGAAAGCUAUUUAGGUAGCGCCUCGUGAAUUCAUCUCCGGGGGUAGAGCACUGUUUCGGCUAGGGGGCCAUCCCGGCUUACCAACCCGAUGCAAACUGCGAAUACCGGAGAAUGUUAUCACGGGAGACACACGGCGGGUGCUAACGUCCGUCGUGAAGAGGGAAACAACCCAGACCGCCAGCUAAGGUCCCAAAGUCAUGGUUAAGUGGGAAACGAUGUGGGAAGGCCCAGACAGCCAGGAUGUUGGCUUAGAAGCAGCCAUCAUUUAAAGAAAGCGUAAUAGCUCACUGGUCGAGUCGGCCUGCGCGGAAGAUGUAACGGGGCUAAACCAUGCACCGAAGCUGCGGCAGCGACGCUGAUGCGUUGUUGGGUAGGGGAGCGUUCUGUAAGCCUGCGAAGGUGACCUGUGAGGGUUGCUGGAGGUAUCAGAAGUGCGAAUGCUGACAUAAGUAACGAUAAAGCGGGUGAAAAGCCCGCUCGCCGGAAGACCAAGGGUUCCUGUCCAACGUUAAUCGGGGCAGGGUGAGUCGACCCCUAAGGCGAGGCCGAAAGGCGUAGUCGAUGGGAAACGGGUUAAUAUUCCCGUACUUGGUGUUACUGCGAAGGGGGACGGAGAAGGCUAUGUUGGCCGGGCGACGGUUGUCCCGGUUUAAGCGUGUAGGUGUGUGUUCCAGGUAAAUCCGGUUCACUUUAACACUGAGGCGUGAUGACGAGGCACUACGGUGCUGAAGCAACAAAUGCCCUGCUUCCAGGAAAAGCCUCUAAGCAUCAGGUAACAUCAAAUCGUACCCCAAACCGACACAGGUGGUCAGGUAGAGAAUACCAAGGCGCUUGAGAGAACUCGGGUGAAGGAACUAGGCAAAAUGGUGCCGUAACUUCGGGAGAAGGCACGCUGACACGUAGGUGAAGUGAUUUACUCACGGAGCUGAAGUCAGUCGAAGAUACCAGCUGGCUGCAACUGUUUAUUAAAAACACAGCACUGUGCAAACACGAAAGUGGACGUAUACGGUGUGACGCCUGCCCGGUGCCGGAAGGUUAAUUGAUGGGGUCAGCGCAAGCGAAGCUCCUGAUCGAAGCCCCGGUAAACGGCGGCCGUAACUAUAACGGUCCUAAGGUAGCGAAAUUCCUUGUCGGGUAAGUUCCGACCUGCACGAAUGGCGUAAUGAUGGCCAGGCUGUCUCCACCCGAGACUCAGUGAAAUUGAACUCGCUGUGAAGAUGCAGUGUACCCGCGGCAAGACGGAAAGACCCCGUGAACCUUUACUAUAGCUUGACACUGAACAUUGAGCCUUGAUGUGUAGGAUAGGUGGGAGGCUUUGAAGUGUGGACGCCAGUCUGCAUGGAGCCGACCUUGAAAUACCACCCUUUAAUGUUUGAUGUUCUAACGUGGACCCGUAAUCCGGGUUGCGGACAGUGUCUGGUGGGUAGUUUGACUGGGGCGGUCUCCUCCUAAAGAGUAACGGAGGAGCACGAAGGUUGGCUAAUCCUGGUCGGACAUCAGGAGGUUAGUGCAAUGGCAUAAGCCAGCUUGACUGCGAGCGUGACGGCGCGAGCAGGUGCGAAAGCAGGUCAUAGUGAUCCGGUGGUUCUGAAUGGAAGGGCCAUCGCUCAACGGAUAAAAGGUACUCCGGGGAUAACAGGCUGAUACCGCCCAAGAGUUCAUAUCGACGGCGGUGUUUGGCACCUCGAUGUCGGCUCAUCACAUCCUGGGGCUGAAGUAGGUCCCAAGGGUAUGGCUGUUCGCCAUUUAAAGUGGUACGCGAGCUGGGUUUAGAACGUCGUGAGACAGUUCGGUCCCUAUCUGCCGUGGGCGCUGGAGAACUGAGGGGGGCUGCUCCUAGUACGAGAGGACCGGAGUGGACGCAUCACUGGUGUUCGGGUUGUCAUGCCAAUGGCACUGCCCGGUAGCUAAAUGCGGAAGAGAUAAGUGCUGAAAGCAUCUAAGCACGAAACUUGCCCCGAGAUGAGUUCUCCCUGAGACUUAGAGUCUCCUGAAGGAACGUUGAAGACGACGACGUUGAUAGGCCGGGUGUGUAAGCGCAGCGAUGCGUUGAGCUAACCGGUACUAAUGAACCGUGAGGCUUAACCUUACAACGCCGAAG
RNAcentral lists this ribosomal RNA (2925 nucleotides) under Salmonella enterica subsp. enterica serovar 4,[5],12:i:-. RNAcentral's name for it is "23S ribosomal RNA". It matches the Rfam family "Bacterial large subunit ribosomal RNA". Lineage: Bacteria; Pseudomonadati; Pseudomonadota; Gammaproteobacteria; Enterobacterales; Enterobacteriaceae. The record is from RNAcentral.